AAAAGCCAGAAAAGCUGUCUCAACUGCAAAAUUCAAUCACUUGAUCAGGAUUAGUUGCAGAAGAACAUAAAGCACAGGAAAGAAUCGAGAGCAAAAUCUUUUACAAUUAAAAAAUGGUACUUGAAAUGCAUUAGUUUUCAGGGAAAUGUCAAGAAAAAGUACAUUUUUGAAAAGGUUUUAUUCGUACUUCCAUUGAUACAGAUUUGCUAUACUAUAGAAACACUAUGGAAUCAGCUAAAGGAUCUACAAAUUCUACAUAUAUCAAUGGCAGAGAAAUCACUGAGUUUUCAAAAUCCAAAAGAGAAUCAGAGUCCAGUAUAUAAGUAUCAAUUUAAAAAAUCGAUAAGAUAAAUAAAGCAUAUGAUAAAAUUUCAAAAUCAAUCUCCAAGCCUUAAUCCCAUCAUAAAGAUUUAGAGACAUGCACAAACUAUGAUAUCUUUAUUCUAUCCCACUAUGCAAAGCAUCCUCCUUUCACAUAAAGCCUAAACUACAAACAGGAAUCAUCAGAAAAGUAAAGAACAGUGACAGAAGGAUAAGAGAGACU
Molecule: unclassified non-coding RNA, 544 nt
Filed under: Hevea brasiliensis (rubber tree)
Lineage: Eukaryota; Viridiplantae; Streptophyta; Magnoliopsida; Malpighiales; Euphorbiaceae
Source: RNAcentral